CUCUCUCUCUAAAAAUAACGUUUUCUCUCUCUCCCUUUCCCUUUGGAUGUUUACAGGUUUUGCAGGUGACCCAGAAGCCACAUGUCCUCUCAGUGAAUUUAAUGGGAACCACGCACCUCCGCACCUCCCGCUAUAGUGACCUCUCUCUCUCUCUAGAUUUCCAUUUCUCGUUAGGUCGCCAUCUCUCUCUCUAGGUUUCCAUGUCCCUGUUUGAUCGCCAUCUCUCUCUUCUCUGCUCACCCCCAUCUCUCUCUCUAGGUUUCCAUGUCCCUGUUUGAUUGCCAUCUCUCUCUUCUCUGCUCACCCCCAUCUUUUAGGGUUUUCGAGCUUACCACUUUCCAUUUCUAGAGAGAGAAGGAUUUUGUUAGAGAGAGAAUAACCUCAUCGCCAAGCAUCCGUUUCCUCAUCUCUGAGAAUAAUUAUCGCUUGCCCUUUCCUAACGAUUCUAAGUCCGUAUCUCAAUUCAGAGUUUCAUGAUUGUCUUCCACGAUUUAUAGGAGUCAAAUUCAUCUUCUCCCAUUUGCAUAGAAAGAUCGUAUUGUCUCUCACUUUUAGAGAGAGAAAAUCAUCGUUCUAUGGCCUAUGAGUGGGAGUUUUUCUAGGGUUUGUAUAGGGAAUGUAUGAUUGGGAGUUUUUCUAGGGUUUGUUUAGGGAAUGAGAUACAGAGCUCUUGGAAAUUAGGGUGGGUCUUUUAGGUGAUGAUUUGAAAAUAUGAAGAGUGGGGUUUUGAAUCGAUUAAGGGGGAAGCAGCUCUCCCUUACUCUAAUUGGAUUUCUGUGUAUGACCCUUGUUUUGUGGGCAUGGGAAAAGACACCCAUUAUUGCUUCGAUUUUGCCUCCUCAAAGCCAGUUUGAGUCUCUCUCUCAAGGGCUUCAUUCUGGUUCCCCUCCUCCACCUUCGUCCUCUGCAACAAUCUUGGUGAUGCCAGUGCCCAAGGAGAGGUUCUCCAAUGAAGGCGAGGAAUCAUAUAGAGGUCUAGAGGGAGAACAACAACUCGAACCUUCCUCUAGUGGUUUAGAGGGAGAACAAAAACUCGAGCCUUCCUCUAUUUCUUUGGAGCCCAACAUCAAUGAACAAAAUGACACAAAGAAAGAGUGUAACUAUGCCAAGGGUCGAUGGCUUCCAGAUAAAAAUAGGCCAUUGUACUCUGGGUUUGGUUGUAAGCGAUGGCUUUCAGAGAUGUGGGCUUGUAGAUUAACCCAACGCACUGAUUUCUCUUACGAAAGUUUCAGAUGGCGGCCAGAAGGAUGCGAGAUGCCGGAUUUUCGGGGAUCAUCUUUUCUGAAGAGGAUGAAGGACAAGACCAUUGCUCUGGUAGGUGAUUCACUUGGAAGGCAGCAAUUCCAAUCUCUCAUGUGUAUGGCCACUGGUGGAGAGGACGGGCCUGACGUGCUGGAUGUGGGUUGGGAAUAUGGCUUGGUCAAACACCGAGGGUCCAUAAGACCUGAUGGCUGGGCUUACCGCUUCCCCAAAACUAACACCACCAUCCUCUACUAUUGGUCUGCAAGCCUAUGUGAGCUCGUGCCCAUUAAUCGCUCAGACCCUAACACCGACUAUGCCAUGCAUCUGGAUCGGCCAGCCUUCUUUCUCCAACAAUUCAUCCACAAAUUCGAUGUUCUGGUUUUGAACACAGGCCACCAUUGGAAUAGAGGGAAGCUCAAGGCAAAUAGAUGGGUUAUGUAUGUUAAUGGACAACCCAACACAAAUAGAAGAUUGAUGGAGAUUAGUAAUGCAAAGAACCUGACAGUUGAUAGUGUUGUUAAGUGGGUGAGUUCGCAGCUCCCAGGGCAUCCUAGGAAGCUCAAGGCCUUCUUUAGGACCAUAUCUCCAAGGCAUUUCUUUAAUGGGGAUUGGAAUUCAGGUGGGAGCUGCGAUAAUACUCUGCCUCUUUCUGGAGGUAACCAGGUUUUGCAGGAAGAGUCCAGUGAUACAGUUGCAGAGAGUGCAGUUAGGGGAACCGGGGUUAGACUAUUGGACAUUACGGCCCUGUCACAAUUGAGAGAUGAGGGGCAUAUUUCAAGGUAUAGUGUCAAAGCAACAGAAGGCGUGCAGGAUUGCCUGCAUUGGUGCCUUCCUGGUGUUCCCGACACAUGGAAUGAAUUACUAUAUGCACAGCUAUAGGCUCCCUCUUUUUAGGACUGUAGGCUAUAGGCUCACUAAAUGCGUUGGGAGACUUCUGAUUUAGACAGAGGUGGCAUCGAUAUAGGCAAUCUGAAAGAGGCAUACGAAAUAGUACUGCUGAAGAAUAACCAGAGUUCGGUAUGAACUUGUCCUGUGGAUUGAACUGUUGGGUUUGUCGGGGGGAAGGCAUAUCACUUUCCUUGGCAUUUUUUCUGAGACCGAAUACUUGUUUUAUUGCUUCAAAAAUCCUUUCAGAGUGCCUGGGCAAACGCUGUUUUUAAAGAAUUUGCGGGGAAGAUAGGCACAAUGUUAAUGAAGUGUACCAAUUGUAACGUGAAGGAGGGUACCUCGCUGAACCCAUUGUUUGGCAGGUGCAUUGGCCCUGGGAGAGGGGUUCUCCUUAACGUGAAAGAGCUGUUUUUGUCUGCAGGUGACGGCCAACGGCAGGUGUCCUGGGGGCUGGAGCCAAAUGGUUAACAGAAAAAGAUGCAUGCCUGAAAUGAAAUAGGCAGAAAGCAGAAAAGCAAAAAGUAGAAUUUGAGUGAUCAAUUGUUCUAGCCUAGUGCCAUGCAGCUGUUUUUUUUUUUGAACGUUAAGUCAUAGUAGUGGGUUAGCAAUUUUUGAGACCCUUAGUAGUUUUCAAAGGGGUUGGCAUUGGCAGGAAUGGAAAUCGAGACCGGUAGUUGAGUCACAGGUUGUGCUACGACCUUUUCCUCGACCCCAUUCCUAGUUCCAUGCAGCUGGUUGUCUGGACCAUUUGACUGACAUUAAAUUUCACUGAUUCAAGCCCGAGUAAGAAGAAAUGUAUUCGAAUUUAUACUUUGCUCAUAACCACUAGUGAUAAAAAAGUUUCUCUUAUUUACUACUCAGAAUUAGCAUGAAGCUAACCUGCUUCCAUUCGUUGUUUUUGUGGCCUGAUUAGAAUGGCAGAAAGUCGUGAUGUUUUCGCCCAUAAUGUCUCAGAUUCUUGGGGAAACUCUUGGUAACUUUUGCUGCCGACAUUGGGAAGCGCAGCAAUCAAACUUGGCAUGACAUCAAUGUUCAUAUUGGACAUAGCUCAUGAGACAAUAUGAUUUCCUUUACGAAAUUAGGAAGCUCAGGAAUGUUUAUUCAUGGUUUAUCGCACUAUUUCUACAAAACUACGGCCUUUGUGUACCAUUGUUUGUAGGUUGGGAUUUAUAGCAUGCUUUUCUAAACACUUUCUUUCCUGUGCUUGAUGUCUGAUUUGUAUCGGACAUGUUGAUGCCUUUGGCAUCUCAAGGCAGUAAGGCACUUUUUGAUUAUUUUUAUUUUGUUUUAUAUAUUGUAGUUUAUAUAUAUUACCUUAGUUAAAAAUUCUUUUAUUUUCUUCAUGAAUUGUUUUGUUUAUCCUAAGGAGUUUGUUCUGUUAUUUUCUAUAUGUUCAUUAAUAUUUUUUGCAUUUAUUUUAUGCAAAUUCAUACUAUUCUAGGUUGCAUGAUGGAUUAUCUGGUCUUAUGUUAGACAAUGGUUCUCAUGACAGUUGUCAGUGCCACACUUCCUGAGUAUAGGACUCUGCACUUCUACAGUUUGUGCAGGCUUUUCCAUCAUUUGAAAAUUGAAUUAGGAGAUUGAUUUCCCGCAUUUUUAUCUUUUACACAGGGUCAUAACUUUCAGAACUUGUAUGUUUCAUUUGUGGAAUGAAGCUUUCUUCGCAUGUUUUAAGUGAAAUUCGUUUUACUGACAGGUUGACAUUAGGGCCCUUUAUGGGCAUCUAUCAACAAAGGAACAAGAUAAAGGGGUUCUUGUUAACGAAUCGGGCUUCAUAGUUAUUGUCUAUGUUUGUAUAUUUUGCAAGCUUUUCCAUGGUUACCUUAUAUGCUUUAUCUAUUAUAUACCUCUGAGUGCUUGGAAUCCCAUUUUAUUGUUCCUCAAAUAAGAUUAAGCUGUAACUAUUUCUGAUUGCUAGGAUAUAGUUGAAUCUGUAUUUAGAUCAUAAUUCGAAAUGCUUUCCAUUCUUAUUCCAUGUGCAUGGAAUUUCCUCUCUCUUGAUUUGAGAUUUGUUGCAUGAAAGUGCAUGCUCAAUGAUCAUGUUCCUGUACCAAUUUAAAAAAAAUGCAAAAUCAUUCUCUGGUGUACUCUUAUGUUGGUAUGUUAGGGAUUAGUUCAGUUGGGUGGUAAUUUGAAUGAUGUUGUAAUAUUUUAUUUCAAUCCUGAUGGAUUGAAGAGAAUGAUCAGGCAGGCAGAAAAAUUCUCAAAAAAAAAAAAGAUCUGGCAGGGGGGAAGUGUCCCGGAAAAUGGAGACCAACCUUAGACUAGUCUUGAAAUAUGGAGAAGGCUGGAUGUAAUAUAACACAACAUAUCUAUCGAGACGUAGAAUUUUUAAUUGAAUAGAAAAAUGGAGAUUUUGAACUUUGUGUGUAUACAAGUCUUAGUGUGAAAUAAAGCUUGAAUCAAGUUCUCUCAGCAGAAGUCGAUAAUUGCCUUGUUUUUGAAGUGGAGAUUCUUGUUCUCUGAACUAGAAAUGUUGUCACAGAUAAGCUAUCUUGCACUACAUAAAAGUCUGGAGGGGGGUAAUCCAAGAAUUUGGAGGGUCUUCUCUAGAGUUCUCAUAAACGUGCGAUUCUUUACUUUUAGUUGAUAAGAAAAGCAUGUCCUGAGACUCUGGAUUAUUAUUUCACUAUGUUGCUGGCUGUUAUAGCCUUUAUGUAUGCAGUGGACCGCUGAAAAUGCAAAUGUGGAAAGCAGUGGCAAAUAUACUUGUCCCUGUGGAUAGAAAGUAACUAAGGAUCAAUGGAUGAAUGGAGCAAACAACGUUCUGAAACAGAAUCGGGCAAAUGAUACAGGAGAGAGUGGUUAUUGAAGUUCAUGAUCCAAUUAUGAAGUAUCAAUUGAAGGUGGUUUAGUCAUAAUCAGUCUCCUGGAGUCCCAUCAAACCUAGAGAAUCCCAAUUUGAGGGAUUGGUGAGCUAAAAAAAAAUGACCCUCAGAAUUUUAGCAUAAUCCAUUAGUAUUCAAGAUUAAGCAUAUCUUAGGGAAAGUAUUCAAAGAGACUAUUUACCUUUGGUACAAGAUGUCAUGAUUAAUUUUGACCAUUGGAUGUAAAAUUUGGUGAUUGCAUUUAUUCCGCUUAUCAAGUUUAAAGUUAAAAAUAAAUUUUUUUGAA
Amborella trichopoda is the source of this 5244-nucleotide non-coding RNA. The record is from RefSeq and is a predicted model, not a curated record. NCBI's taxonomy places the organism in Eukaryota, Viridiplantae, Streptophyta, Magnoliopsida, Amborellales, Amborellaceae.